AUCAGACACGGUGCCAGCAGCCGCGGUAAUACGGAGGGGGCUAGCGUUGUUCGGAAUUACUGGGCGUAAAGCGUACGUAGGCGGCUUUGUAAGUUAGAGGUGAAAGCCUGGAGCUCAACUCCAGAACUGCCUUUAAGACUGCAUCGCUUGAAUCCAGGAGAGGUGAGUGGAAUUCCGAGUGUAGAGGUGAAAUUCGUAGAUAUUCGGAAGAACACCAGUGGCGAAGGCGGCUCACUGGACUGGUAUUGACGCUGAGGUACGAAAGCGUGGGGAGCAAACAGGAUUAGAUACCCUGGUAGUCCACGCCGUAAACGAUGAUAACUAGCUGUCCGGGGACUUGGUCUUUGGGUGGCGCAGCUAACGCAUUAAGUUAUCCGCCUGGGGAGUACGGUCGCAAGAUUAAAAACUC
This 409-nucleotide ribosomal RNA is filed under the name uncultured bacterium. RNAcentral's name for it is "bacterial SSU rRNA". It matches the Rfam family "Bacterial small subunit ribosomal RNA", at positions 495 to 902 of the family's 1533-position model. The record is from RNAcentral.